CCCUACGGGGGGCAGCAGUGAGGAAUAUUGGUCAAUGGGCGGGAGCCUGAACCAGCCAAGUCGCGUGAGGGAAGACGGUCCUAUGGAUUGUAAACCUCUUUAGGCGGGAAGCAAUGCCGGGCACGCGUGUCCGGAGGGAGAGUACCCGCAGGAUAAGCAUCGGCUAACUCCGUGCCAGCAGCCGCGGUAAUACGGAGGAUGCGAGCGUUAUCCGGAUUUAUUGGGUUUAAAGGGUGCGUAGGCGGAUUUUUAAGUCAGCGGUAAAAUGUCCGGGCUCAACCCGAGCCGGCCGUUGAAACUGGGGA
RNAcentral lists this ribosomal RNA (305 nucleotides) under uncultured bacterium. RNAcentral's name for it is "bacterial SSU rRNA". It matches the Rfam family "Bacterial small subunit ribosomal RNA", at positions 337 to 639 of the family's 1533-position model. The record is from RNAcentral.